CGACCAGACUCCUACGGGAGGCAGCAGUGGGGGAUAUUGCACAAUGGGGGGAACCCUGAUGCAGCGACGCCGCGUGGGUGAAGAAGUAUUUCGGUAUGUAAAGCCCUAUCGGCAGGGAAGAAAUUGGACGGUACCUGACUAAGAAGCCCUGGCUAACUACGUGCCAGCAGCCGCGGUAAUACGUAGGGGGCAAGCGUUAUCCGGAUUUACUGGGGGUAAAGGGAGCGUAGACGGCGAUGCAAGUCUGAAGUGAAAGGCGGGGGCCCAACCCCCGGACUGCUUUGGAAACUGUAUGGCUGGAGUGCAGGAGAGGUAAGUGGAAUUCCUAGUGUAGCGGUGAAAUGCGUAGAUAUUAGGAGGAACACCAGUGGCGAAGGCGGCUUACUGGACGGUAACUGACGUUGAGGCUCGAAAGCGUGGGGAGCAAACAGGAUUAGAUACCCUGGUAAAA
This 451-nucleotide ribosomal RNA is filed under the name uncultured bacterium. RNAcentral's name for it is "bacterial SSU rRNA". It matches the Rfam family "Bacterial small subunit ribosomal RNA", at positions 328 to 793 of the family's 1533-position model. The record is from RNAcentral.